UGAUCUGAGCCAAAGUCAGACACUUAACCGACUGAGCCACCCAGGUGCCCCAGAAUUUUACCAAGUUAAUAGAAUUGUGUCCCAGGAAGGAGAGACAGCAUGUGCAAAGGUCCUGACAUUGGAAUGAGUUUUGUGUAUCCAAAUAGAAAAGUCCACAGUAAUGACCCUUUUUGUUGUUUAGUGAACAUAUGCUUACAUCCUUCCCUGGGGUAAACCUCCAGGUAGACCCGCUUGACCUGAACAGAAAUGUUUAGAGAGACCAAAGCAAACUUAUCGGUAAGACAGACAUUUGGAAGUUUCUGGGCUGUAAACAGGAGGCAAUUUAUUCUGUAAACUGUAACAUUUCCUCAUUUUGGAGCCAGAGUUCCCUCUCACCUGGCUGGUGACGAGCCUGUGACCUCAAACUGGGAGCACUCACAUCUCUAGGCAUUGCACUUCAUACCAUGAGUUCCUUGGAUCUAAUAACCUGCUACUCUUAGCCCCAUUCUCCAGAGCCGUGAACUGAGGCCUCAAAGAAGGAUCACAUCUUGCCUGAGGUCACAGAGGCCAAACACUAACCACUGUGCUUUACCAACUUCCCCCAAAUAUACAUUUCAACUUUGGAACUGGUUGGGCUGAGGUUUGUGUUUUGGGCAUAGGUUUCCCAAAUAGCCCAUGGUCCUUGCCCUUCCUCUUCAGGAGGAGAAAACACACACACGUACACACAUGUACACACACACACACACACACACACACCUGACCAUCUUGGCCAUUUGUCCCUCCUCCCAUCUCUACAGAACAGUGGCCACCAAGGUGCAGAGCAGUGCCAGGAUCUGAUGUGCAUCCGUGGAAGGGGCGGGGAGAGGAGAGAGUCCCUUUCAGUAGCCAACUGUGUGUGUGCAACUUCCUGCCAGUGAGGAAACAUUCGUUCAAAUCAGCCCUGGUUCUCCUCCCUGCUCUGGCCUCACAGGAGGAGUUGGCAGUGAGCUGUGGGCUGCACUGGCCUCAGCCAGACUUCCUGGCCAAGCUCAGGAGGAGAGAUGCCCUGGACUGUCCUGCUCUUUGCAGCCGGCUCCUUGGCCAUCCCAGCACCAUCCAUCCUGCUGGUGCCCCCACACCCCAGCAGCCAAGAGGACCCCAUCCACAUCGCCUGUGUAGCCCCCGGGGGCUUCCCAGGGGCCAAUUUCACGCUGUACCGCGGCAGGCAGGUGGUACAGCUCCUGCAGGCCCCCGCGGACCAGCUGAGCGUCACCUUCAACUUGACCGGAGGAGGCAGGGAGGCUCCGGGGGGCACAUUUCACUGCCAGUACGAGGUUCUAGGUGAACAGCCGCAGCUGUCUGACCUCAGUGACACUGUGAGUGUCUCCUUCCCAGUGCCCACUUGGAUACUGGCACUCUCCUUGAGUCUGGCUGGAGCUCUCCUUCUCCUUGCUGGGCUGGUGACCCUUGCCGUGGUGGUCAGGAGAGUGAAAGUAAAAAAAAUGCAGAAGAAAAGAGAGCGAGAAUCCUGCUGGGCCCAGAUCAACUUCGCCACCACAGAUAUGACCUUUGACAAUUCCCUGUUUGCCAUCUCUACGACAAGAACAUUGAAGCUAAUUAUGGGCCUUAAUGGGGUCAUCCAGCUAGGCAGGUGCAGGACUGGGAUGGAACCCCAGCCAGCUGUCACCUACCAAGCUUUGGUUUUAAAAAUGAAUCCAGAAGAUCCAGCCACGCUGGAUGCUUGCUCGGGCUCCGUCGAGACACCUGGCAACUCUGGGCCCCGGAAAAGGCCCACUUCCACAUCUUCCUCGCCCGAGCCCCCCGAAUUCAGCACUUUCCGGGCCUGCCAGUGAGGCUGAGGAUCGGGGGCCCCUCUGUGUCUGUGCAUUCUCCAUUCAGCCCCCUGUCUUGAGGGCCUGAGGUUGCUCUAGCUACUUUGGGUUUUCUGGCUGCUGCUUUCUCAGGGAAUUGAAUAGAGGAGACCAAGAGAAUCCUUGGCCUUGGGACCUUCCUCAACAGAGGAGCAGGAGUGGCAGAGGGGUCGCCCACAUUGUCCUGGAAGCUGGACAGAAAGUGGGAGCACUCUUUGGAUUCUACCCAGGAAGGAGAUCGGAAGGGCGUC
This is an RNA transcript of Felis catus (domestic cat), 2080 nucleotides long. It is a transcript of the gene named chromosome A2 C19orf38 homolog, with no coding region annotated. NCBI's taxonomy places the organism in Eukaryota, Metazoa, Chordata, Mammalia, Carnivora, Felidae. The record is from RefSeq and is a predicted model, not a curated record. The transcript is spliced from 9 exons.